CGGGGGAGGCCGGAUCCCGGGCUGUGUCCCGGCGCCCUGUGCUCCGGAGCCUGCGCUGGUGGAUUCGCGCUCCCGGCCGUGCAGCCCCCU
RNAcentral lists this microRNA precursor (90 nucleotides) under Canis lupus familiaris (dog). RNAcentral describes it as "mir-8799 microRNA precursor family". It matches the Rfam family "mir-8799 microRNA precursor family". Lineage: Eukaryota; Metazoa; Chordata; Mammalia; Carnivora; Canidae. The record is from Rfam by way of RNAcentral.